This is a non-coding RNA of Lolium perenne, 2193 nucleotides long. Lineage: Eukaryota; Viridiplantae; Streptophyta; Magnoliopsida; Poales; Poaceae. The record is from RefSeq and is a predicted model, not a curated record.
AAUCCAUCGUGAGCGUUGAUUCGUCAUGCGAACAGUAAAAUUCCUCCCGCUUUUCACCCUAGCCAUUGGAUCUGUAGAUAUUUUUUGCACUUUCUCAGCUUCCCAUCGAUUCUAUGACAGAUGGGACCUUGUACGUGCGGGGGCCGCCGGUCGGAGGCAGCCACACGGGCUCGUUCGUGUCACCCGCCUUCUCUGAGACAGUGAAAACCUAGAUCGAGACGGCUCCCCCAAUCCCCGCCUCCUCUCUCGUGCUCCAAUCAUUCAUUUCCUUCCUCCUCCUCCAAUCCGCGCCGCAUCAUCUCCUCCUCCCAAACAGGGCGCGGCCGACGUGAGCGAGGACGGAGCGAGGGUGCCGCCGCCAUGCAUCGGGAGAGCGGCCGCGGGGCGCUGCUGCGUGGAGCGCUGGGAGGAGACGGUCACCGCCGGCCGCGGGCAUCGCCAUGUGAAGAGUAGGUGGCCGGGGGCCGCGUCAGCCGCUGCCUCGGGUCCACGCCGCCGCCGCCGCUCCUCCAUGCCAUCGCCGACCACCCCCUGCGUCGCGUCGUGUCCUCGCCGUCGUCCGACAGCGCCAUGGAGUGUGUCUCCUCCAAGUCGAGUCCCCACCGCCGGCGCCCAGGGUGACGCGGAUCCGGGGCAGGAUGGGCAGGAUCUCGUCAUGCCGGUCCUCCUCCGCAUUGUUGCUGCGCUGCUCCCUCCUCCUCGUGGUCAUCUCCUCUACGCUGCCUCCGUCCCCAGCCUCCUCUACACGGCCUCAACCCCCGGCGUUCUGCUACCUCUGCCCCACCUCCUCUCCAUGGCUUGGCGUUGAGACCCAUCAUGGACCAACCUCCGCCCCCAUCUCUGCGUUGCUGCAGCAUGGGACGACUGCAGCGACGACAUCCCCCAUCUCUGCUCUCGGGAUGCCUUUGUACAUGAACCAGAUCUUGAAAAGCAUAUGGAGGUCAACUGCGCUGAAAUCAAAAUCCAAAAUCACGAGGUUGGAAUGCAGCUCAAUAAGGUGAUUGCAGAUCAUGAGGUUUCAAGGACAGCUGGUGUGAUAGUUAAUAAAUUGGGUUGAUGAUGAGGCUGUCAAGAACAAGCGACCGCCGUCAAAGAGGCUUUCCCUAGAGGAGACUGGGAGGUGUUUCACUAUUAUGAAAUCGGGGUGAUUGGCGCAUUCAUCUUCUACUUCUUCAAGUACAAGAGGCUGAUGCCCCUGAAGAGUAUAAGCUCUUAGUAGGACGGAUUCAACCUUCUAUUUGCCUGUUAAGAGACUUGCUCAGUUGCUCCUCGUAAAAAGGAAUGGUUACUGAACCGGCACCGCCUACAACUAUAAAAAGCUCCCUGUGUUGCCAUCUCUGUAUCCCUUCUCCUCGCUGGUCCCCACCGAUCUAAUUGGAUCACGAUUGGAUUCUGAGUUCUGCUCGCUCCAUCAAGAAGGAAGAAACCACGCUGGACAACCUGCUUGCAUUGGCUCACACAGUUGUGGACGCGCACGCGUCAGUAACAACCUGUCGCCACUGAAACGAAUCAAUCUGCUUCUUUCCUGUAACCCUUGCCGGCGUGCACAACUAAGAAAUACAGAUCAGAAUUACAUGGACUAAGGGUUGUAGCUUGCAAGGAGUAACAUUAAAUUUGGAUAGGUACGAAUUACAGAGAAUCAGGGCACAUCAUGGAUCAAGGGUUAUAAUAUGUAUGAACGUGUUUGAUUGAUCUACGUGCUCUGAGUGGUGUGCUGCAGUCUCCAGCUCAUCUGAUUUGUAUGUCUGAUCAGCUGCAAUGCAUCAUUGCCUCCUCUGGUCAUCAUUGUUUGCCCGUAGAUGCUGCUUCUUCAGUUUUACUUCUAUUCGUUUCCAACCUGGAAUUUCUUUCCUGGACGCAUAGUCAUGGAGCUCCUCUCAUUUUAUACAUUCUUUCAUCUCUGCUUUUAGCAACGCCUCAACUUUCAAGUAAGAACAUCUAUAUUAUGGAAUAAGGCUAUGGAUUAUGAAUUAUCAUGUUACUGUAAUAUGUUAAGAGUUUUCCUGCGAAGGUAUUAGUUCGAAAUGUUCUAAUGUUCUUCCAUCCUAUCUUACAUAUUACCUAAUUUUAGUUUAGCUUUUCCUACUGCUUUCUGGGAAGUCAUUGUUCAUAUUACAUGCACAUAACUAUGACAUUGAACUUAUUAUCUUUGGAUUUAAGAUCAAAAGCAGAACCUAAGUUUACAAUUUUUUC